This 484-nucleotide ribosomal RNA is filed under the name uncultured bacterium. RNAcentral describes it as "partial 16S ribosomal RNA". It matches the Rfam family "Bacterial small subunit ribosomal RNA", at positions 30 to 507 of the family's 1533-position model. The record is from RNAcentral.
AUUGAACGCUGGCGGCAGGCCUAACACAUGCAAGUCGAGCGGAUGAAGGGAGCUUGCUCCUGGAUUCAGCGGCGGACGGGUGAUUAAUGCCUAGGAAUCUGCCUGUUAGUGGGGGAUAACGUCCGGAAACGGGCGCUAAUACCGCAUACGUCCUGAGGGAGAAAGUGGGGGAUCUUCGGACCUCACGCUAUCAGAUGAGCCUAGGUCGGAUUAGCUAGUUGGUGGGGUAAAGGCCUACCAAGGCGACGAUCCGUAACUGGUCUGAGAGGAUGAUCAGUCACACUGGAACUGAGACACGGUCCAGACUCCUACGGGAGGCAGCAGUGGGGAAUAUUGGACAAUGGGCGAAAGCCUGAUCCAGCCAUGCCGCGUGUGUGAAGAAGGUCUUCGGAUUGUAAAGCACUUUAAGUUGGGAGGAAGGGCAGUAAGUUAAUACCUUGCUGUUUUGACGUUACCAACAGAAUAAGCACCGGCUAACUUCGUG